CCUACGGGCGGCAGCAGUGAGGAAUAUUGGUCAAUGGCCGCAAGGCUGAACCAGCCAAGUCGCGUGAAGGAUGAAGGAUCUAUGGUUUGUAAACCUCUUUUAUAGGGGAACAAAGGUAUCCACGUGUGGCUAUUUGCAUGUACCCUAUGAAUAAGCAUCGGCUUACUCCGUGCCAGCAGCCGCGGUAAUACGGAGGAUGCGAACGUUAUCCGGAUUUAUUGGGUUUAAAGGGUGCGUAGGUUGUUUUUUAAGUCAGCGGGGAAAGUUUGUGGCUCAACCAUAAGAUUGCCGUUGAAACUGGACGACUUGAGUGUGUUUGAGGUAUGCGGAAUGCGUGGUGUAGCGGUGAAAUGCAUAGAUAUCACGCAGAACUCCGAUUGCGAAGGCAGCUUACUAAGCCAUAACUGACGCUGAAGCACGAAAGCGUGGGGAUCAAACAGGAUUAGAUACCCCGGUAGUC
This 460-nucleotide ribosomal RNA is filed under the name uncultured bacterium. RNAcentral describes it as "partial 16S ribosomal RNA". It matches the Rfam family "Bacterial small subunit ribosomal RNA", at positions 338 to 795 of the family's 1533-position model. The record is from RNAcentral.